Molecule: ribosomal RNA, 303 nt
Filed under: uncultured bacterium
Lineage: Bacteria
Description: bacterial SSU rRNA
Rfam family: Bacterial small subunit ribosomal RNA
Source: RNAcentral
UCGGGAAUAUUGCGCAAUGGAGGAAACUCUGACGCAGUGACGCCGCGUAUAGGAAGAAGGUUUUCGGAUUGUAAACUAUUGUCGUUAGGGAAGAUACAAGACAGUACCUAAGGAGGAAGCCCCGGCUAACUAUGUGCCAGCAGCCGCGGUAAUACAUAGGGGGCAAGCGUUAUCCGGAUUUAUUGGGUGUAAAGGGUGCGUAGACGGAGAAACAAGUUGGUUGUGAAAUCCCUCGGCUCAACUGAGGAACUGCAACCAAAACUAUUUCCCUUGAGUGUCGGAGAGGAAAGUGGAAUUCCUAGU